GGGUGUGAACUCUGGCGGACACCCUUCGUGAGAGAAAGCGCGUUGGGGGCAACCCCUCACGAGUUCGAAUCUCGUAUCCUCCA
RNAcentral lists this transfer RNA (83 nucleotides) under Streptomyces sp. FH025. Its description in RNAcentral is "tRNA-Leu". Lineage: Bacteria; Bacillati; Actinomycetota; Actinomycetes; Kitasatosporales; Streptomycetaceae. The record is from RNAcentral.